RNAcentral lists this non-coding RNA (234 nucleotides) under Frateuria sp. Lineage: Bacteria; Pseudomonadati; Pseudomonadota; Gammaproteobacteria; Lysobacterales; Rhodanobacteraceae. The record is from RNAcentral.
ACACUACGCCACGCCUGAGGUGAUCGCCGGCAUGGGCCGGCGGUUGAAACGGGAAUCCGGUGACGCCGUUCCACGCAAAUGGACGGCCAUUCCGGAGCUGCCCCCGCAACGGUAGGCGAGUAAGACGGACCGCAACGAAGCCACUGUGCCCACCGGCAUGGGAAGGCGCGGCCCGGGAAGAUCGGAGGAUCUUCGCUCGCGAGCCCGGAGACCGGCCUCGAGGCACGACCUGAC